AUUGAACGCUGGCGGCAGGCCUAACACAUGCAAGUCGAACGGCAGCAGGGUGAAGGCUGCUUCUUUCCGGGGGAGAGGGGCGGGCGGGUGAGAUAUAUCGCGACGUGUCGUGUAGCGGGGGAGAACAAGCAGAGAGGGUGACGCUAAUAGCGUAUAUUCUGAGGGAGAGAGAUGGGGGGAUCGUAAUAGGUUUAGCGAUUGUUUGGGGGGCGAUGUCGGAUUAGCUAGUUGGGGAGGUAAAGGCUCACCAAGGCGACGAUCCGUAGCGGGUCUGAGAGGAUGAUCCGCCACACUGGAACUGAGACACGGUCCAGACUCCUACGGGAGGCAGCAGUGGGGAAUUUUGGACAAUGGGCGCAAGCCUGAUCCAGCCAUGCCGCGUGGAUGAAGAAGGCCUUCGGGUUGUAAAGUACUUUUGUUGGGGAAGAAAAGCCACAGGUGAAUACCCCGCUGUACUGACGGUACCCAAAGAAUAAGCACCGGCUAACUUCGUG
This 494-nucleotide ribosomal RNA is filed under the name uncultured bacterium. RNAcentral's name for it is "partial 16S ribosomal RNA". It matches the Rfam family "Bacterial small subunit ribosomal RNA", at positions 29 to 507 of the family's 1533-position model. The record is from RNAcentral.